This 289-nucleotide ribosomal RNA is filed under the name uncultured bacterium. Its description in RNAcentral is "partial 16S ribosomal RNA". It matches the Rfam family "Bacterial small subunit ribosomal RNA", at positions 773 to 1060 of the family's 1533-position model. The record is from RNAcentral.
GUGGAUUAGAUACCCUAGUAGUCCACGCCGUAAACGAUGAAUACUAGGUGUAGGGGGUGUCAACUCCCCCUGUGCCGCCGCUAACGCAUUAAGUAUUCCGCCUGGGGAGUACGGUCGCAAGAUUAAAACUCAAAGGAAUUGACGGGGGCCCGCACAAGUAGCGGAGCAUGUGGUUUAAUUCGACGCAACGCGAAGAACCUUACCUAGACUUGACAUCUUCUGCAUUACCCUUAAUCGGGGAAGUCCUUUCGGGGACAGAAUGACAGGUGGUGCACGGUCGUCGACAACU